Molecule: long non-coding RNA, 296 nt
Filed under: Triticum aestivum (bread wheat)
Lineage: Eukaryota; Viridiplantae; Streptophyta; Magnoliopsida; Poales; Poaceae
Description: long non-coding RNA (TAES_LNC009959)
Source: RNAcentral
UUGUCUACCUGCAGGGUCCCUGCCUACACCAAUUCCUUCAGCUUCCAUUAUUUCUUAAUCAGGCCAACAGGGAGAAGAAGGUUCUGCAUCAUCAGGGUAAGCUUUUACUCUCUUCAAUUCUCUUCAUUUUCUUCUCCCCGUUGGGUUUUCUGGGCCUUUAUUCAGGGCGAUGCUUGCAGAAGGGAGGUGCCUCUCAGGUUGUGUUGCUCUUGGAUGCGAUGGUGCCAUGGAAGAUGGAGGCGCGCCUGGCGGAGACGGUGUGGGUGGUGCUCCUCGGCUGGGUCUCCUCCUGCCUC